RNAcentral lists this ribosomal RNA (253 nucleotides) under uncultured bacterium. RNAcentral's name for it is "partial 16S ribosomal RNA". It matches the Rfam family "Bacterial small subunit ribosomal RNA", at positions 524 to 776 of the family's 1533-position model. The record is from RNAcentral.
UACGUAGGUGGCAAGCGUUGUCCGGAUUUACUGGGCGUAAAGGGCGCGUAGGCGGCCUGGUAAGUAGGGGGUGAAAUCCUGCGGCUUAACCGCAGGGCUGCCUUCUAAACUGUCAGGCUAGAGCACGGUAGAGGCAGAUGGAAUUCCCGGUGUAGCGGUGGAAUGCGUAGAGAUCGGGAAGAACAUCAGUGGCGAAGGCGGUCUGCUGGGCCGUUGCUGACGCUGAGGCGCGACAGCGUGGGGAGCAAACAGG